This 212-nucleotide long non-coding RNA is filed under the name Nicotiana benthamiana. RNAcentral's name for it is "long non-coding RNA (NBEN_LNC006874)". Lineage: Eukaryota; Viridiplantae; Streptophyta; Magnoliopsida; Solanales; Solanaceae. The record is from RNAcentral.
CAGAACUUCUAUUGUGUAGAUUUGUAACUCGUUUAUGAAUUUCAUUCUGAAUGUUGUGAGCUCAAUGCGUAAUCAAAAUAGUCUUUGGUUUUAAGUUUAAGUUUUCAUAAUCAGUUCAUGAAUACAUAUCUCACUCUAGUCCUCUUCAGUAUUCUAGUAUCCUGUAACUCGGUAGGUGUCACGACCCAACUUUCCCUCUGUUUGGAUUCGUG